Molecule: transfer RNA, 71 nt
Filed under: Marmota monax (woodchuck)
Lineage: Eukaryota; Metazoa; Chordata; Mammalia; Rodentia; Sciuridae
Description: tRNA.Ala
Source: RNAcentral
GGGGUUGUGGCUCAGCGGUAGAGUGCUAGCCUUGCUUGUGCGAGGCCCUGAGUUCAAUCCUCAGCACCACA